Molecule: ribosomal RNA, 253 nt
Filed under: uncultured bacterium
Lineage: Bacteria
Description: partial 16S ribosomal RNA
Rfam family: Bacterial small subunit ribosomal RNA
Source: RNAcentral
UACGUAGGGUGCAAGCGUUAAUCGGAAUUACUGGGCGUAAAGCGUGCGCAGGCGGUUUUGUAAGUUUGUCGUGAAAGCCCCGGGCUCAACCUGGGAAUUGCGAUGAAGACUGCAAGGCUUGAAUCUGGCAGAGGGGGGUAGAAUUCCACGUGUAGCAGUGAAAUGCGUAGAGAUGUGGAGGAACACCGAUGGCGAAGGCAGCCUCCUGGGCCAGCACUGACGCUCAUGCACGAAAGCGUGGGGAGCAAACAGG